AGAUAAGAUAUCCCACUGAGUCAAUCAGGUAAGACCCCUUGAAGACUACAAGGUUGAUAGGCACACAGUGUAAGCGGAGUGAUCCGUUCAGCUAGCGUGUACUAAUAGGUCGAGGGCUUGACCC
This 124-nucleotide ribosomal RNA is filed under the name Gemmiger formicilis. Its description in RNAcentral is "23S rRNA. Bacterial LSU". It matches the Rfam family "Bacterial large subunit ribosomal RNA", at positions 2802 to 2925 of the family's 2925-position model. The record is from RNAcentral. Lineage: Bacteria; Bacillati; Bacillota; Clostridia; Eubacteriales; Oscillospiraceae.